RNAcentral lists this long non-coding RNA (681 nucleotides) under Nicotiana tabacum (common tobacco). Its description in RNAcentral is "long non-coding RNA (NTAB_LNC011641)". Lineage: Eukaryota; Viridiplantae; Streptophyta; Magnoliopsida; Solanales; Solanaceae. The record is from RNAcentral.
AUGUUUAGGCCAUAAACACCUAGGUAGGCAAACCUUAGGUCUUAUAUUUUAUUUUAUUCGAGAUAAGAGGUCGUUCCCUUUAGGUCUUAUAUUUUAUUUUAUUCGAGAUAAGAGGUCGUUCCCUUUAGUUUAUACUCGAGGAAUGCCCCCAUAGAUUGUGUAUAUAUUUUUAUCAGGGGAAUGCCCCAAAGCGAAUGUAAAAGGAAGCUGAGGCAUCAUCGAGGGAGCAUUAGCCUAGCGUAGUGUAUAACUUUUGGUACUUAUUAUUUUUAUUUUUAUUUUUCUUAGGUGGGGACAACCUCGAGCCUCUUGUGUGUUUAUUUUUCUUUCGUGUAUUUUUUGUCUUAGUUUGAGUAUCCUUUAAAGUCAACUAGAUCAAGUAUGCAACCAUACUAGUUACGGGCCUCGGGGAAUGCCUAACACUUUCUUCCAGAGUUAAAUGAAUCCCCUUUCUUGGAAUCUUUGGUGCUGUCCGUUUUAGAAUCAAAAUGUGUUUUUUGAAGGAAAAUUAUUACUUUAAAAAUAGUGACCUUACACACCGAAAUCAAAUGUCGGGCGGCGAUUUUGAAAAAUCCUUCGAAACACAAUCUUUUGUCACUUUCUAAAUGAUAAUCCUUUUGAGCUUUAAAAUCACUUUAUAUAUUUUAAUGAGGGUUAGUUAAGGUAAAAAGGGGUGUGGCA